Long non-coding RNA from Oreochromis niloticus (Nile tilapia), 555 nucleotides. RefSeq lists it as uncharacterized. NCBI's taxonomy places the organism in Eukaryota, Metazoa, Chordata, Actinopteri, Cichliformes, Cichlidae. The record is from RefSeq and is a predicted model, not a curated record. The transcript is spliced from 3 exons.
GUGGUUCUGCUGGUGUUACUGGUUCUGCUGGUGAGACGAUGUGUUCACAGGAAACCUGAAGCAGAUCAAGAAGAAACUGGAGAAGAUGACAUCAUCACUCAUGUCAUGUACAGUUUCAUCAAAUCAUCAACAACAGCCAGUCAGACGAAGCAGAGAAGCUGCUCCACUGGAAGAGAUUUCUGAGUGAGGAUUUCUGUGAAUGAGUGAGCUUCAUCCAGUGACCCGUCCAGUCUGUGAGAGCCUGAGAAUAAUGGACUUCUUACUUUUGUUCCAUGCUCACAGACAUUACAGGUGUCUUCAUGUUUCUUCACUGAGGUUACAUCUGUGUUGGGUUUGUGUUUUAUCCUGCUUGAAGAAGAUGGUGUGAGUUCAAAGUUCAACUUAAAUUUAGGUGACUUCAGGAACUCUGACUGUGGUUGCUGUCCAUGGUGCUGAUCAGCAACUGGAACGAUGCUAAUGAUUAUUCCUCAUAUUGUUGUUGCACACUGUGAUAUCGUGAAGUCAGUGUUAGAUUCAAAUAACUUUUACAUUUUUUGCUGUCUACAAAUUGUAAUA